AACGAACGCUGGCGGGAGGGAGAACACAUGCAAGUCGAACGAGACCUUCGGGUCUAGUGGCGCACGGGUGCGUAACGCGUGGGAACCUGCCCUUAGGUUCGGAAUAACUCCCCGAAAGGGGUGCUAAUACCGGAUAAUGUCUUCGGACCAAAGAUUUAUCGCCUUUGGAUGGGCCCGCGUUGGAUUAGCUAGUUGGUAGGGUAAAAGCCUACCAAGGCGACGAUCCAUAGCUGGUCUGAGAGGAUGAUCAGCCACACUGGGACUGAGACACGGCCCAGACUCCUACGGGAGGCAGCAGUGGGGAAUAUUGGACAAUGGGCGAAAGCCUGAUCCAGCAAUGCCGCGUGAGUGAUGAAGGCCUUAGGGUUGUAAAGCUCUUUUACCCGGGAUGAUAAUGACAGUACCGGGAGAAUAAGCUCCGGCUAACUCCGUG
This 433-nucleotide ribosomal RNA is filed under the name uncultured bacterium. RNAcentral's name for it is "partial 16S ribosomal RNA". It matches the Rfam family "Bacterial small subunit ribosomal RNA", at positions 29 to 507 of the family's 1533-position model. The record is from RNAcentral.